Molecule: ribosomal RNA, 1975 nt
Filed under: Bacillus sp. S1-R2T1-FB
Lineage: Bacteria; Bacillati; Bacillota; Bacilli; Caryophanales; Bacillaceae
Description: bacterial LSU rRNA
Rfam family: Bacterial large subunit ribosomal RNA
Source: RNAcentral
ACAUUCUAUACGGAGUUACAAAGGAACGAGGUAGACGAAGCGACCUGGAAAGGUCCGUCGUAGAGGGUAACAACCCCGUAGUCGAAACUUCGUUCUCUCUUGAAUGUAUCCUGAGUACGGCGGAACACGUGAAAUUCCGUCGGAAUCUGGGAGGACCAUCUCCCAAGGCUAAAUACUCCCUAGUGAUCGAUAGUGAACCAGUACCGUGAGGGAAAGGUGAAAAGCACCCCGGAAGGGGAGUGAAAGAGAUCCUGAAACCGUGUGCCUACAAAUAGUCAGAGCCCGUUAACGGGUGAUGGCGUGCCUUUUGUAGAAUGAACCGGCGAGUUACGAUCCCGUGCGAGGUUAAGCUGAAGAGGCGGAGCCGCAGCGAAAGCGAGUCUGAAUAGGGCGUUUAGUACGUGGUCGUAGACCCGAAACCAGGUGAUCUACCCAUGUCCAGGGUGAAGUUCAGGUAACACUGAAUGGAGGCCCGAACCCACGCACGUUGAAAAGUGCGGGGAUGAGGUGUGGGUAGCGGAGAAAUUCCAAUCGAACCUGGAGAUAGCUGGUUCUCCCCGAAAUAGCUUUAGGGCUAGCCUUAAGUGUAAGAGUCUUGGAGGUAGAGCACUGAUUGGACUAGGGGUCCUCAUCGGAUUACCGAAUUCAGUCAAACUCCGAAUGCCAAUGACUUAUCCUUAGGAGUCAGACUGCGAGUGAUAAGAUCCGUAGUCAAAAGGGAAACAGCCCAGACCGCCAGCUAAGGUCCCAAAGUGUGUAUUAAGUGGAAAAGGAUGUGGAGUUGCUUAGACAACUAGGAUGUUGGCUUAGAAGCAGCCACCAUUUAAAGAGUGCGUAAUAGCUCACUAGUCGAGUGACUCUGCGCCGAAAAUGUACCGGGGCUAAAUACACCACCGAAGCUGCGGAUUGAUACCAAUGGUAUCAGUGGUAGGGGAGCGUUCUAAGGACAGUGAAGUCAGACCGGAAGGACUGGUGGAGUGCUUAGAAGUGAGAAUGCCGGUAUGAGUAGCGAAAGACGGGUGAGAAUCCCGUCCACCGAAUGCCUAAGGUUUCCUGAGGAAGGCUCGUCCGCUCAGGGUUAGUCAGGACCUAAGCCGAGGCCGACAGGCGUAGGCGAUGGACAACAGGUUGAUAUUCCUGUACCACCUCUUUAUCGUUUGAGCAAUGGAGGGACGCAGAAGGAUAGAAGAAGCGUGCGAUUGGUUGUGCACGUCCAAGCAGUUAGGCUGAUAAGUAGGCAAAUCCGCUUAUCGUGAAGGCUGAGCUGUGAUGGGGAAGCUCCUUAUGGAGCGAAGUCUUUGAUUCCCCGCUGCCAAGAAAAGCUUCUAGCGAGAUAAAAGGUGCCUGUACCGCAAACCGACACAGGUAGGCGAGGAGAGAAUCCUAAGGUGUGCGAGAGAACUCUGGUUAAGGAACUCGGCAAAAUGACCCCGUAACUUCGGGAGAAGGGGUGCUUUCUUAACGGAAAGCCGCAGUGAAUAGGCCCAAGCGACUGUUUAGCAAAAACACAGCUCUCUGCGAAGCCGUAAGGCGAAGUAUAGGGGGUGACACCUGCCCGGUGCUGGAAGGUUAAGGAGAGGGGUUAGCGUAAGCGAAGCUCUGAACUGAAGCCCCAGUAAACGGCGGCCGUAACUAUAACGGUCCUAAGGUAGCGAAAUUCCUUGUCGGGUAAGUUCCGACCCGCACGAAAGGUGUAACGAUUUGGGCACUGUCUCAACCAGAGACUCGGUGAAAUUAUAGUACCUGUGAAGAUGCAGGUUACCCGCGACAGGACGGAAAGACCCCGUGGAGCUUUACUGUAGCCUGAUAUUGAAUUUUGGUACAGUUUGUACAGGAUAGGCGGGAGCCUUUGAAACCGGAGCGCUAGCUUCGGUGGAGGCGCUGGUGGGAUACCGCCCUGACUGUAUUGAAAUUCUAACCUACGGGUCUUAUCGACCCGGGAGACAGUGUCAGGUGGGCAGUUUGACUGGGGCGG